AUGAAGUGAUGAGAUGAAAUCCACAUCCAAGCUGUAAGAAUACACAGCUUAGGAUGCCAUGUGAUUCAGGUGGGAGAUUCAAAGAAUGGAUGGCAGCACUGGUCCAACUGCUCAAGAGCAAGAAAAUGAUCUCAUCUGGGUAAUAAAGAAAAACUGCAAGAGUAUGGAGCGUAUAUGCCCAAUGCUCCCUUAAUGCUAACAUUGGAACUAACCAUAAUCUAGUCCUCAGAGUGGACCCAGACAGCAACUUGAACUAAAUCCAGCAACCAAAAGGAAGGAGCUUAGCAUGGCUGUCCUCUGAGAGGCUCUACCAACAGCUGACUGAGACAGAUGCAAAUACAGCCAAGCAUUGGAUGGAGGUCAGGGACCUGUAUGGAAGAGAUGGGGGAAGGACUGAAGGAGCUGAAGGUAAUGGUGGCCCCAUGGGAAGACCAACAGUGUCAACUAAUCUGGACCCCUGGAAGCUCCCAGAGAAUAAGCCACCAACAAAAGAGCAUGCAAGGUCUGGUUUGUUGCCCCCUGCUGCACAUAUAGCAGAGAACUUCCUUGUCUAGCGUCAGGGGGAGAGGAUGCCCCUAUUCCUUUUAGGUACUUGAUGCCCCUGGGUGUGGAGAUAACCAGGAAGGGGCACCUUCUCAGAGGCAAAGAAGAGGGGUCAUGGGGAAAAGAAGUCUGUGAGGGGGGACAGGAAGGGUACAACAUUUGGGAUGUUAAUAAAAUAAUUUUUAAAAAAGAGAAA
Molecule: long non-coding RNA, 739 nt
Organism: Mus musculus (house mouse)
Lineage: Eukaryota; Metazoa; Chordata; Mammalia; Rodentia; Muridae
Product: predicted gene, 34008
Exons: 4
Source: RefSeq, a predicted model, not a curated record